Biomphalaria pfeifferi is the source of this 214-nucleotide non-coding RNA. The record is from the annotation of a GenBank genome assembly. NCBI's taxonomy places the organism in Eukaryota, Metazoa, Mollusca, Gastropoda, Planorbidae.
GUGAAUUUUUGUCUUUUUUUUUUUUGUUUUUGUUGCUAGCAACUAUGAUGAUAGGGCAUUCAUUGUAUAAUCUAAUUUUAUUGCAAAUGCUUCAAGUCACAAUAGCGUAGGACCAAAGUGCAAAGUUAAUAGUUUAGUUUGAAAUUUCAUGCACUUCAUUUAUAAGUGUGUUCAUUUAGCGACAGAUUAGUAAUUAAAAAAAAAAUAUGUAACA